Jaculus jaculus (lesser Egyptian jerboa) is the source of this 387-nucleotide long non-coding RNA. RefSeq lists it as uncharacterized. The transcript is spliced from 2 exons. NCBI's taxonomy places the organism in Eukaryota, Metazoa, Chordata, Mammalia, Rodentia, Dipodidae. The record is from RefSeq and is a predicted model, not a curated record.
CCGAGGCUGAGCAGGCGCAGGGCCGGCAGCAUGAGCCGCGAGGAGUGAACCGUUCGCCCAGGCGCCGGCUCCCACCGGGGCGGAACCGAGACGCACGAGUUGGCCGCAAACUCCUCUCCCGAGUCUACUUGGAGGCAGCGUCUCUUCGGUUGGAGAUGGACAUUGAAAUGACACUUCCCAUUAAUUUUCCACUGGAUGAAGAACAGAUACAAAAGUCAGUUCAGUUUCUUUUGUGGUGAUGUGACUGAAAUCUUAAAAGAGUUGGACAAAAGAGCCCGGAAGUGCAUGCUUCCAGCGUUCAUUGGAAUACCACUGAGUGGAAACUGUCAUGUCCUCACACCACAGCCUCAAACACUCCAUUUUCUCUCCUUAAACGAUCUAAUUUUA